CCGGCUGUACUUCCAGCCGUAGCCUAUCGGCACAUGCGGGAUUGGUAACGAACCCGUGUGAAGCUGCCGGGACAACGCAACCUGUGAAUAAAUCCACAAGGCCGAACCGUGAGGUAACGCCAAGUCUGCCAGUAUCAAGGCGGUAGGGA
This 149-nucleotide non-coding RNA is filed under the name uncultured Thiohalocapsa sp. The record is from RNAcentral. Lineage: Bacteria; Pseudomonadati; Pseudomonadota; Gammaproteobacteria; Chromatiales; Chromatiaceae.